AUUCCAGCUCCAAUAGCGUAUAUUAAAGUUGUUGCAGUUAAAAAGCUCGUAGUUGGAUUUCUGGUUGGAGCGACCGGUCGGGCGUUGAUUCGUCUGCACUGGAGUCGGUUUUGGCCAUCCUCUAGGAAAGUGCGUCUGGUAUUAAGUUGUCGGGCGUAUGAUCCUGGUCUUUUACUGUGAGAAAAUUAGAGUGUUUAAAGCAGGCCUUCGCCUUGAAUACAUUAGCAUGGAAUAAUAAGAUAGGACUUUGGUCUAUUUUGUUGGUUUGCAGACCGAAGUAAUGAUUAAUAGGGAUAGUUGGGGGUAUUUAUAUUCCGAUGUCAGAGGUGAAAUUCUUAGAUUUUCGGAAGAUAAACUUAUGCGAAAGCAUUUACCAAGGAUGUUUUCAUCA
Molecule: ribosomal RNA, 391 nt
Filed under: Stramenopiles sp. MAST-4E
Lineage: Eukaryota
Description: partial small subunit ribosomal RNA
Rfam family: Eukaryotic small subunit ribosomal RNA
Source: RNAcentral